RNAcentral lists this transfer RNA (74 nucleotides) under Lederbergia lenta. Its description in RNAcentral is "Bacillus lentus tRNA-Trp(cca)". It matches the Rfam family "tRNA". Rfam says of the family: Transfer RNA (tRNA) molecules are approximately 80 nucleotides in length. Their secondary structure includes four short double-helical elements and three loops (D, anti-codon, and T loops). Lineage: Bacteria; Bacillati; Bacillota; Bacilli; Caryophanales; Bacillaceae. The record is from RNAcentral.
AGGGGUAUAGUUUAGCGGUAGAACUAAGGUCUCCAAAACCUUCAGCGUGGGUUCGAUUCCUACUACCCCUGCCA